This 214-nucleotide long non-coding RNA is filed under the name Gossypium raimondii (Peruvian cotton). RNAcentral's name for it is "long non-coding RNA (GRAI_LNC003049)". The record is from RNAcentral. Lineage: Eukaryota; Viridiplantae; Streptophyta; Magnoliopsida; Malvales; Malvaceae.
UUGGCGGUUGGGAUGUUCUUGGUCGCUAUAACCAGUUUAUUUCUUGGAAGUGAAUAUCUAUUUCAAGGAUCGAUUCAAGAUCGGAGUACAUUGAAAGUAAGGCUAUGCUUAUAAAGUAUUUUAUUUUUUCAUUUAUUUUAUUUUCUUAAAUUUAUUUUUGCAUUUUCGAAUCUAUUUUUAUUUUCUUUUUCAUAUUUCCUUAUUUUAUUAUCUU